AAUUUUUCUACUUCCCCAUGUCUCGCCAGUUCCCUUAUAUUUCUCUAAAUUAGAUUUUUUUUAUAAUAAAGCCCUGCCCCGUUUUAAGUAUUGUAACUCCCGAUCACCGCUACCCUUUCCGAUUGAUCUGAGCCUCAUAACUUAUGUCAGGGCUCUGCCCGACUAAGUUGUUGGGAUUCUAUCUCGGGACUUCAGGACAAGGUUGAAUUACGGGUACUAUACUUACCACGAUUGCAUUAUAUAUUUUUAUAUAACUCAGAAGUUAUACCCAAAAUUUAUACCAGAAGGUUUUCUAGUUGAACCCUAAAGUUACAAAGUGGGUCCAUUCUCUUUUCUCACCGUUUUAUUUCCUUUUUGUGAUUUACCCAAAACUAUUAUUUAUUUUGUAAACAAAUCUCGUCAAAAGUCAUAUCUAUUAUUUUAUUUACCCAAUAGGAAACCCUAGUUGAGACACCCAAGUAAUUCUGCAUAAUCCCUAAAAUUUUCAGAAUAAUCAGAAUCAGGAUCAGGGCCCCUAAAACUCAAAGGAGGCAAUUCCCAUUCGAUAUUAUCUUCAAAAAUCUGUUGUCAAAAUUGAAUUUAGUCGUACAGUCGACUCAUCAAGCCUACCCCUAAACGUGUCCACCCUAGGCUAGAAAAUAGACAUGUCGCGCCACGCGACGGGUGCACAUGUUCUUGUCGCGACACGCGAGAGGGACGAUUUUCCAGCUAUAAAUAGUAGGCUGUGGGACUUGAUUUCUGGAGUUGGAACGACGGAAAAUUCCGUCUUACACUCCGAGUUAUAGCCGGUCUGCUAUAAAACACCCACAAUCACGAAUUCUGCUACGAUACAGGGUAUUAACUCGAUCGCUAUUACGAUUCAACGUCCGAUCGAUUAUAACUAUCCAACGAUUGUUUGAGUGCUGCUCAAAUUGAGUUUAUACUUUGUUAUUCAUCGUGAUUUCGACUUGAAUGUUUGAGUGCUGUCUAAAUUCAGACGAUACUCUGUCAUUCGUUGUGAAUCCGCUGAAGUGUUAAGUGUUGCACUUUGUUAAUCGUUGUGAGGGUUUAAUCUCGUGAAUUGCCGUAAAUGCUGUAUUAGUUAUUUACCUAGUUUCGUGUGCAUCAUUUCCUAAAUUAGGUUAUUAGUCUUACCAAUAGGCUAAACUUCACCCCAUACACCUACAAUCAAAAUAGAUGCUAAUUCUCUGAAGAACCUGAAUCAUGAAGCUUGUUAAUUCAAUACUGCAUGCUUAUAAUGUAAUUUCAGUAGAUUGGAGUAAGAAUUGGAUCCGGCACUGAAGGCAUCAAGAAGUGGCUUAUUUUAUUAAUUUAAUCAACUUAAGAAAUAUUGUUUUUAGGGUUUAUCCUGUAUUAAAAGCUAGCUUUGUAAAACAUGGAAUUUAUUCCAUCUAUUAAAUAAAAUCCGGUGUU
This 1413-nucleotide long non-coding RNA is filed under the name Helianthus annuus (common sunflower). RNAcentral's name for it is "hypothetical non coding rna". The record is from RNAcentral. Lineage: Eukaryota; Viridiplantae; Streptophyta; Magnoliopsida; Asterales; Asteraceae.